This 224-nucleotide long non-coding RNA is filed under the name Lathyrus oleraceus (garden pea). Its description in RNAcentral is "Pisum sativum (pea) long non-coding RNA (PSAT_LNC017827)". The record is from RNAcentral. Lineage: Eukaryota; Viridiplantae; Streptophyta; Magnoliopsida; Fabales; Fabaceae.
AAAAUUAAAAAAAAAUUAAAAAAAAAUGAAAAAAAAAAGUAAAAUAAAAAAUAAAUUAAAUAAAUAAAUAAAUAAAAUAUAAUAGAAAAAUCUUGGACUUUGACCUCUCUCAUUUGAGUCCACAAAGUCAUGAAAAUCAGGUUAUAAAAGAGGGAGAACAGACAGAAAAAGGAAGAGAAGCAAAACACUCUGAGGUUUCCUUGGAACAAAACCCUGGACAAAAC